Long non-coding RNA from Neofelis nebulosa (Clouded leopard), 3593 nucleotides. RefSeq lists it as uncharacterized. The transcript is spliced from 2 exons. The record is from RefSeq and is a predicted model, not a curated record. NCBI's taxonomy places the organism in Eukaryota, Metazoa, Chordata, Mammalia, Carnivora, Felidae.
CCCCCCCCCCCCCCAACAAAGUACAGGACAGGUAAAGGUAAAGCGGUACCCAUCACCAAAAAUGGGAGUUUGGAAGACUUCAUUUCCUUUACUUCUUUUCAGUCCUUUCCUAAUCCCUUCAGCCGUUUCAAACCUAGUCCCUUCGCAAAGUCCCUUCUGCUUCACACGCAAAAGGAGUUUCAACGGAAACGCCCUUGACUUGCCACUGCCAAACGAACACGACUACCUGUGGCCCUCCGCCCUCCUAACAGAGGGUGUGGGUCGCCUCUCCUGCUUCAAGCUGAUCCAACCCUUGAGCUCCCCUUCCACCUCCGCCCUUGUCCGGCAAGUCUCUCAUUGUACUGGGUACUGGGGUCUUCCCCACCCCCGCCUGCUUCUGCUAUGUGCCAUUCAUCCUCAGGGCCCAGCUUAAAAUGCAAGGAAGCUCCUCAACAUUUGAAUGAACAAAUGAGAGUUUAUUUGUUCAUAAACAAUAACAUGGGUUAUUGUUGGAUGUAUGGGCGCCCCUAUUUCAUUCUUUUUAUUUAAUCCUCGAACCACCCUGGAGGGAGAAAAUAUUUCCUCUCUAUUGGUCAUGAAGGAGAUGUAAUUUUGACCACUGUCAAAGUCAGGAAAUGGCAGUGCCUGGUAUGACUCAAAUUCAGAUUUGAGGAGCUUUAAAUGCCAUGCUCCUCCAGUCUUCACCGGUCCCAGAUCCCUGAUAAAGAGGAGGGUUCUCUCUCCUUGAGCCCCCGGCAGUCUCUUCCUCCUUCUCGGGCCUGGGCUCACCUGCCCCAGGAACAGAGGAUAGUCUGGUCUGACUCAUGCUCUCCUCAGCAAAAGAGGGCUGGGUCUGACUAGGCUGGCAGGCCCUAGAAGCAGGAGGCCCUGGCCCAGAUGAGAGGUGCAAGGAGGGGCAUAGAGCAGGAUGGCAGUCAGGGAUUGACUCGGUUGAGGGAAAUCUCUGUAGGGAGGAUGCUCUUCCUCUCUGAGUUGAGACUAGCCUCCUAUAAGUUCCUCACCUCAGCCUUGUCUCAGCUCUGCCUCAAAAGGACCUCUGUCCUUCACUGGGGAACUGAUGGCAAGGAAGAGAAUCCUGCCUGGCCUAGUGCCUCUCUACCCUUGCCUUGCUGUGUGACUUUGGAUAUAUGCUUACACUUUUCUGGGCCUCAGCUGCCUCAUCUGAAAAGUGAGGAGUGGGUCUAGAGAUCCCCAAGAGUGCCUCUCUGACUCUAUUUGAAGUCAAAUUCUUGUUUCCUCUGAAAUACUUUUCUACUCUUUGGGGAAAGUUUUGUUAUGGUGGGGGAGACCCUCAUCCUGACAGACACUGCUCUCCUCCAAAAACAAUGGUCCCUACCAUCUGAAAUUUGUACUUUGCCAAACUUUUUCACAUCCUGUCAUAUUUUGUCUUCACAUCACUUCUGGAAUAGAAGUUUAUAUUCCCAUAUCACAGAUGGGCAAACUGAUGGAGAGAUGCAGAGACUCAGGUCACCUCAGCAUCCUGAAGCUUGGCCUUGAGGUAGGCUGACUGAGGCCUUUGGAUCAGGAAUCCCCUUGGUGAGGGGUGAGGAGGGUGUUUAAGGAUCUAGGCUGGGCCACCACCCAGUGGCACACUCACCCAGUCAGAGAGUGACUUGGCUGCUUCCAGCACCUCACGAAUCCUCCUAGCCUCAGUACCUUCUGAUUCAUGAUGAGACAAAGUCAUCUUCCAGGUACAGAGGGUGCCUGGGUGUUUUUAGCCCUUCAAAGACUCAUCUAGGAGGUUGCUGGGAACACUGGGCACCAGGGUGGAGAGGGGAACAUUUCUGGGAGUCUAGAACUGGGCCCAAUGCAGGCACCCUCACAAAUGUGCCAGAUGACCCUCAGCAAGUCACUCCCUUCCUCUGGGCCUCAAGCCCCUCACCUAUGAAAGGAGAAUGAAAACAUUAACCCAUCUACCCAUAAGUCAUGGUGCCCAGCAAGAUCGGGGCUAUAAAACCCUUGAAGAAAUCAAGAUAGGAAGGUUGUGAUGGUCACAGUCAUGGCCAGUGAUGGCCCUUGGGUACUUAAGAGGGAGAAAGAUAAGGAGUGAGAGGACCUCAAGAAGAAAUGCCCUCCAGGGGCCACCUGGGUGGCUCAGUUGGUUAAGCGUCUGCCUUAGGCUCAGGCCAUGAUCUCACUGUUCAUGGGUUCGAGCCCCAUAUUGGGCUCUCUGCUGUCGCUGUGGAGCCUGCUUUUGAUCCUCUGUCUCCCUCUCUCUCCUUUCCCCUUCCCCCACUCCCCUGUUCGUCUCUCUCUCUGUGUCUUUUUCAAAAAUAAACAUAAAAAAAGAGAGAGAGAGAGAGAGAGAGAGAGAAAGAAAGAAAAAGAAGAAGCAAUAACCUCCAGGAAGGAACUGUCUUAGGGGGAAUCUGACUCCUGAGUCCAUUCCCAAGUCAAUUAGAAAUGACCUGAGAUUGUCCCCUUUCCUGUAUAGUUAGACCUCAAGUAGACAGUAUUGGAUUAUUUAUAACCUUUAGUUCAUGACACAUUCUCACCACUUCUUUAAUUGGCUCCCACCACAAAACAACUAGGACCUCAAUAAUGUCCUACAUCUCAUCAUAUAGGUUCCCUACCACCCAUUCUCCUGCUGUCAUACCACGCCGAAUAAUAACCAUUACCUUCUGUGUUCAGCAUUCCUUUGCUUUCCUUUUUGUGUAGUUUUGUUGCAUCUGUGUAUUCCUUCAAAGUAUAUAUUUUCAUUUUAGUUGUUACAAAAGGGCAUCUUGCUCUGUGUAAUUUUUUGAGAUUACUUUGUACUUAAUAUUAUACUGCUUAGGUUUAUCCAUAUCGUCACACAUCCAUGUAGUGCAUUCUGGCUGCGUGUAAUAUUCCAUUGUGUGAAUAUAACAUGGUGUAUUAUUCAUCCACUCUCUCAUGGACGGAUAUUUGAGUGUUUGCAGGUGUUUGCUCUUGCAAAUAGUGCUGCUCUGAGCAUUGUGCAUGACUCCAGGUGCACAUGCGCAGGAGAGCUCAGGGUAACAGGCCAUGUGACUACUCGACAUCCAGGAGGCAUUGUCAAGCUAGGACCGAAUAUCUCUCUCUGUGUUUUUAUUUUAUUAUCUGUGUUUCCUUUUACGUGAAAUGCCAGUUUGUGCCUCUUCUAUUGGGUUAUUAUACUUUUUUGUACUUUAUGAAAAUUCUGCUCUAACUUUUCCAUGCUCAAUAGGGUGGCUUAGGGAGGGCUGGUAGUAUUAUCAUUGUUUUAUACGUAAGGAAACAGAAACUUAGAGAAGUUAAUGGGCUUGUUUAGAGUCACAGAGUCAAUAACAGCCCUUUUGCACUGAGCUGAUACCUUCUGAGACCACUGGGCCUCAGCUAAGAAACCUCUGCCCCUUAAGCUGAGUCACAAAACCCCUGGUCCCCAUCAUCUUUCAGCUCCUGACCAUUACAUGAGCUUAUAGUCUCCCCAGUGAGGCCUUAGCCCUUGUUAUGUUCUUCUGAGCUCUCCUCCCAGCUGUAAUGAUCCAGGGUAUAUAUUUAUUUCAUUAUUGCCUUUCUGUUUCAUCAGACGAGAAGCUCGCUCAGGGUAGGGACCCACGGCUCAGCAUGAUGCCUGGCUCAUAGUAGGUGCUCAAUAAAUGUUGUUUACUGGA